This 523-nucleotide long non-coding RNA is filed under the name Pan troglodytes (chimpanzee). Its description in RNAcentral is "lincRNA". The record is from RNAcentral. Lineage: Eukaryota; Metazoa; Chordata; Mammalia; Primates; Hominidae.
AUUGCUCCUGUGUUUCAUAGAUGGGAAAUCAUACUGAUGACUCAACCAUAUAUAGCAUUAUUUUGCUGGUUCAUGCUACCUCAGCGGAAACUGCCAAAGGUCAUCUGACAUAAUAGCUGAUGAAUUCAAGCCCAGUGGAUUUCAUUUGCAAUUUUCAAUUUACUGAGGCCUCCAAACCCCACGGUGAUAAAAGCUUCCCCUAUCGUGGCCUGUCACAAACAUCAAGAAACUGCACAAACCCACAAGAAAGAAAAAAGAGAAAGCUGUGCAUCAUCACAGCUAUAGAUAAGGAGAACAGGAAGAAAUGGUAUCAUGCAGGAAGGUGGGGAGCAGCCUGUGUGGCUAGUUCUCUAAAUGCCAAUUGAAACGAAAAGACUAUGAGGAACAAUCAAAUAACUUCCACAGAAUAACAACAUGUUUCUUUGGAGCUUUUAUGUGAAAAUUGCCUUCUAAUCUCUGACUUGACAUGCUCCCACACAAAAAUGUAAGUGUAAAUAUGCAAAUAAAUAAAUGAAUAAAUAAU